GAUGAACGCUAGCUACAGGCUUAACACAUGCAAGUCGUGGGGCAUCAUGAUGUAGUAAUACAUUGAUGGCGACCGGCGCACGGGUGAGUAACGCGUAUCCAACCUACCCUCCACUCAAGUAUAGGCUUCCGAAAGGGAGAUUAAUCCUUGAUAUCGUCAUUCUCUCUCCUGUUAGAAUGAUAAAAGGACAUCGUUUCGGUAGAGGAUGGGGAUGCGUUCCAUUAGGUAGUAGGUGGUUUAACAGGCCACCUAGCCGAUGAUGGAUAGGGGUUCUGAGAGGAAUAUCCCCCACACUGGUACUGAGAUACGGACCAGACUCCUACGGGAGGCAGCAGUGAGGAAUAUUGGUCAAUGGGCGCAAGCCUGAACCAGCCAUGUAGCGUGAAGGAUGACGGUUUUUUUGAUUGUAAACUUCUUUUCUGUGCGAUUAAAGUGUGGCAUUUAUGCCAUAUUGCAGUAUCUCAGG
Molecule: ribosomal RNA, 466 nt
Filed under: Bacteroidetes bacterium oral taxon 272
Lineage: Bacteria; Pseudomonadati; Bacteroidota
Description: bacterial SSU rRNA
Rfam family: Bacterial small subunit ribosomal RNA
Source: RNAcentral